This 384-nucleotide ribosomal RNA is filed under the name uncultured prokaryote. RNAcentral describes it as "bacterial SSU rRNA". It matches the Rfam family "Archaeal small subunit ribosomal RNA", at positions 341 to 725 of the family's 1478-position model. The record is from RNAcentral.
GCGAAAACUUUACAAUGCUGGAAACAGCGAUAAGGUGACCUCGAGUGCCAGGUUACAUAUCUGGCUGUCGUGAUGCCUAAAAAGCAUUACAUAGCAAGGGCCGGGCAAGACCGGUGCCAGCCGCCGCGGUAACACCGGCGGCUCGAGUGGUAACCGUUAUUAUUGGGUCUAAAGGGUCUGUAGCCGGCCGGAUAAGUCUCUUGGGAAAUCUGGCAGCUUAACUGUCGGGCUUUCAGGAGAUACUGUCUGGCUCGAGGCCGGGAGAGGUGAGAGGUACUUCAGGGGUAGGGGUGAAAUCUUGUAAUCCUUGAAGGACCAUCAGUGGCGAAGGCGUCACACCAGAACGGACCAGACGGCAAGGGACGAAAGCUAGGGCCAGGAACC